GAUGAACGCUAGCUACAGGCUUAACACAUGCAAGUCGCGGGGCAGCAUGGGGGUUGCUUGCAAUCCCCGAUGGCGACCGGCGCACGGGUGAGUAACGCGUAUCCAACCUGCCCUUCACCACGGGAUAACCCGGCGAAAGUCGGACUAAUACCGUAUGUUGUCCAUUGACGGCAUCCGAUUUGGACGAAAGGUUUGGCGGUGAAGGAUGGGGAUGCGUCCGAUUAGCUGGACGGCGGGGUGACGGCCCACCGUGGCGACGAUCGGUAGGGGUUCUGAGAGGAAGGUCCCCCACACUGGAACUGAGACACGGUCCAGACUCCUACGGGAGGCAGCAGUGAGGAAUAUUGGUCAAUGGGCGUAAGCCUGAACCAGCCAAGUAGCGUGCAGGAUGACGGCCCUAUGGGUUGUAAACUCCUUUUAUGCGGGGAUAAAGUGGCCCACGUGUGGGUUUUUGCAGGUACCGCAUGAAUAAGGACCGGCUAAUUCCGUG
This 490-nucleotide ribosomal RNA is filed under the name uncultured bacterium. Its description in RNAcentral is "partial 16S ribosomal RNA". It matches the Rfam family "Bacterial small subunit ribosomal RNA", at positions 28 to 507 of the family's 1533-position model. The record is from RNAcentral.